UACGUAGGGUGCGAGCGUUAAUCGGAAUUAUUGGGCGUAAAGCGUGCGCAGGCGGCUCGCCAAGUCCGUUGUGAAAGCCCCGGGCUCAACCUGGGAAUGGCAGUGGAAACUAGGGGACUGGAAUCUGGCAGAGGGGGGUGGAAUGCCGCGUGUAGCAGUGAAAUGCGUAGAGAUGCGGCGGAACACCGAUGGCGAAGGCAGCCCCCUGGGCUGAGAUUGACGCUCAGGCACGAAAGCGUGGGGAGCAAACAGG
RNAcentral lists this ribosomal RNA (253 nucleotides) under uncultured bacterium. RNAcentral describes it as "partial 16S ribosomal RNA". It matches the Rfam family "Bacterial small subunit ribosomal RNA", at positions 524 to 776 of the family's 1533-position model. The record is from RNAcentral.